This is a non-coding RNA of Trichonephila inaurata madagascariensis, 68 nucleotides long. The record is from the annotation of a GenBank genome assembly. NCBI's taxonomy places the organism in Eukaryota, Metazoa, Arthropoda, Arachnida, Araneae, Nephilidae.
GCAUCGGUGGUUCAGUGGUAGAAUGCGCGCCGUUCCGCGGGUGGGCCCGGUCGAUUCCGGCCGAUGUA